Molecule: ribosomal RNA, 465 nt
Filed under: Vreelandella stevensii
Lineage: Bacteria; Pseudomonadati; Pseudomonadota; Gammaproteobacteria; Oceanospirillales; Halomonadaceae
Description: partial 16S ribosomal RNA
Rfam family: Bacterial small subunit ribosomal RNA
Source: RNAcentral
CCUACGGGUGGCUGCAGUGGGGAAUAUUGGACAAUGGGCGAAAGCCUGAUCCAGCCAUGCCGCGUGUGUGAAGAAGGCCUUCGGGUUGUAAAGCACUUUCAGUGGGGAAGAAAGCCUUGGGGCUAAUACCCUCGAGGAAGGACAUCACCAACAGAAGAAGCACCGGCUAACUCCGUGCCAGCAGCCGCGGUAAUACGGAGGGUGCGAGCGUUAAUCGGAAUUACUGGGCGUAAAGCGCGCGUAGGCGGUCUGAUAAGCCGGUUGUGAAAGCCCCGGGCUCAACCUGGGAACGGCAUCCGGAACUGUCAGGCUAGAGUGCAGGAGAGGAAGGUAGAAUUCCCGGUGUAGCAGUGAAAUGCGUAGAGAUCGGGAGGAAUACCAGUGGCGAAGGCGGCCUUCUGGACUGACACUGACGCUGAGGUGCGAAAGCGUGGGUAGCAAACAGGAUUAGAUACCCGAGUAGUC